UCUAUAGGAUUGAGUAUGGGGAGUGAAUGAAAUUUAUUGGAUUAAUCUAACGAGACAGUCAGUGGAUACAAGAUCGUGAGUAUAAAGCGGUGUCGAAGAUUAGAAGUUUGGAUUGUUCGGGGUUCUCUGUAACGUCUAGAGACCUACCGGCCGGGACAAAAAGGACUUCGGCGAGUAGUCGAAGGGCAUCCGUAUAGAUUUACGGUAUAUUCUUGCAGUCGUUUAUAUUCCAACAGUCAAAAACUGAUAGACUGCUUGACUAUUGGCGAAUCUCCAUACUACCUUCUACAGCUAGACGCCUGGCGCGUUCUCGAGCAGGAAAGCACG
This 327-nucleotide long non-coding RNA is filed under the name Physcomitrium patens. RNAcentral's name for it is "long non-coding RNA (PPAT_LNC003870)". The record is from RNAcentral. Lineage: Eukaryota; Viridiplantae; Streptophyta; Bryopsida; Funariales; Funariaceae.